AAAUUGAGUGUUGGAUGAUUGUUUUGUGCUUAAAUUGUUUUAUCUUGUGAAAUAUGUUACUUUCUCGUACUUUGAUGAAUUUUACAGAAAUAUGGAGUUCGAAUUUGGACUGUUGAUCUUAAUGAAAGUUGUAGUUCGUCUCGAUACGAGUUCGUAGGCGCAAACGGUUCGCAAAUCCGAGUUCGGACGAGGAAGAUAUGGCCGAAACAAGAAAGUCGCGCACAGCAGUGAAUAGUGCCCGAUGGGAAUUUCCGAAUUUUCGGGAUUUUGCGAGAUUUUCGGAUUUUAUCAGUAUUUUCGAGCUCUGUACUGUAUUUAUCUCCUGUGCCUAUAUAUAGGUCCUUUCCCUGACCUAUUAGACACAUCUUUUCAUAUCUCUUUACCUCUCUUUAUUUCUUUUCUUCUUUUAUUCUUUUUAUUUUUAGACUUAGCUUUAUUUUUCCUGCAAGAUUUCAGCUGUCAUUCAAUAUUCAUUCCGGGUUUUA
Molecule: long non-coding RNA, 485 nt
Filed under: Salvia miltiorrhiza (redroot sage)
Lineage: Eukaryota; Viridiplantae; Streptophyta; Magnoliopsida; Lamiales; Lamiaceae
Description: long non-coding RNA (SMIL_LNC013148)
Source: RNAcentral